Molecule: long non-coding RNA, 454 nt
Organism: Rosa rugosa (rugosa rose)
Lineage: Eukaryota; Viridiplantae; Streptophyta; Magnoliopsida; Rosales; Rosaceae
Exons: 3
Source: RefSeq, a predicted model, not a curated record
AGGGUUCUUGGGUUUUCUGGGCUUGUGUUCAACGGCCAAAUUGGAGCUCUUCCAGGGCAAUGCCGCGAGCUACGGUUAAAUGAAGGAACUCGUUUGCGUGGUCGCCCAAUAGUACUUUUGCAGGCGAAAUUAGUUGAGGUCGGGCGUACAUGGAGUCGAGGCAUAGCCAACUGCAUUGCUUCCGCGUACUCAUUCUAUUUCUGUUUUCUUUGUUACCUAGUGGAUUAGUAUUGCUCUGAUAACCUAUGGGAUUAAUAUUGCUUUUGGGUUGAGACUGAUAUUUGUGAAAUUGGAGUUGUGAUUUGGGGAGCAGAUGGCUCCAGAAGAUUAAGGAUGGAUGAUUUAGAAGUGUAAAUGUUUUCCUACAGGUUUUGGGUAGCCUACUUUUAGGGGAAGUUCCGCCAAAUUUUUGGUAGAAUUUCUUCUAAAGUGGGUCCCGCAGGGCCACUUCGGA